CUUAAUAUGGCAGAUUAGUGCAUUAGAUUUAAGAUCUAAAUAUAGAGUUUAAGA
RNAcentral lists this transfer RNA (54 nucleotides) under Gnathostomula armata. RNAcentral's name for it is "tRNA-Leu". The record is from RNAcentral. Lineage: Eukaryota; Metazoa; Gnathostomulida; Bursovaginoidea; Gnathostomulidae.